Molecule: long non-coding RNA, 942 nt
Organism: Artibeus jamaicensis (Jamaican fruit-eating bat)
Lineage: Eukaryota; Metazoa; Chordata; Mammalia; Chiroptera; Phyllostomidae
Exons: 3
Source: RefSeq, a predicted model, not a curated record
AAGGAUCCCACCGCUCUCUUAGAGCUCCAGUGCUUUUCUUUUUGGAAAGGGGUGUGUAUGUGUGUACUUUGCUCUGAACAGGAAGAUAAGGACUGCCCAGAGCAUUCAGUGCCUAGUAAACAGACUGGACAAAAGAUAGGUAGCUUAGUAUUUGCGGGGUAAUAGAAGUAAUUGCAAUGUUUCUAAUCGGUCUUUGCAAAUCAUCAAGAAUAAAAUGUGGAUGUGUAAUAUUGAUUUUAUGUGUGCAUUUAAAAUUCAAUAUGUUCAUCUAUCAUACCCACUUCAUCUUUUAAACUUACUUCAAAUAUGAAUUCCAAUAACUUACCUCCGAAGACUUCGUCCGCAGCUUCCAAAUCCCAUAAUACUUCGCUCAUGGACGUUUCGUUUAACACCUACUCUUUCAACAAGGUAACAAACUCUUGGAAUGCAGAUCUCUUUCACCAGGAGCUCUAUACAGAAUAGGCACUUAGUGAAGGUCGGUGGACUGCUAAAGGAGCACUACUGUGAAUCGUUCCCCUGCCCCAGGAAUGCAGAUAAGAAGACAAUUUGAAGAACUAGCCUUAGUUGAAAUUGAUAUUGUAUCCUGCUAUUGAAGAGAAUAACCAGGAUCACGGAGAUGAGAAACGUUUAAAUGAGAGAGAGAGAGCAGAAGGGAGAGAGAGAACCAUGGGUGGGAGAGAAGAAUUGAUCGGUUGCCUCCGUCUGCACCCGGACCGAGACAGCGCACCAGAACCUGGGAAUGACCAUGUCCCGACUGGGAGUUAACCGCGUCGCACCCAGACUGGGGAUGAACCCGCAACCCAGGACUGAGCCGGGUCGAGGGAGGGAAGCUUCAAACUUUCGGUUAUGGGACCACGCUCCAACCACCGAACCUCACUGGCCACGGACUCAUGAAGUAUGUGUUAUCAUAUCCCUUUCAGUUCAUUUUAGUUAGGAGGACGU